GCGCCGGAGAUCGUCAUUGGGACGACGGUAUGUCAGUUUGUCCGACAGAGUACAAAUGAGGAUGUGAAGGUUGUCGGUAACAAGAGGUUAGAAAGAGCCGGGGCGCACGACUUGUGGAAAUUUUUGGGUAUAUACGUUUUCGACCUCUGGUUCUACAGAAAUUUUUGGGUAUAUUUGUUUUCGAACCCCCCUCCCCUCCCAUCGGAAAUCUCAAGUUUCGCCACUGCACACGUGCACAACGCAUAAGUAUUUUACCCUUUUUUAAACCACUGACCGGGUAGUGGUGCUCGAUCAAGUACACCGUCGCCACCAAUUCGAUAGUGAAAAUAUCGGCUAGUUACCAAUCGAAGGAGGCCGAAAUGUGACAGUUGGGAACGACAUUAUGGUCGUUGCAUUUAAAAAUAAUAAUAAUUUCUUUUCAAUUAACUAUAUAUAUAUAUAGGGCAGGGAUAAAUCGAAAACCCACUCCAGUUGAGAAAACCUAGGAAACCCCAUCUCCACCAUUGAUUAAUAUGAUCAAUGGUUGUGAUCAUCUUGUAUGUACAACUGAUGUUGCUUUUAAUAUAAUAAUAAGUUAAAGUACAUGCAAGGGUAUUUUUGGUAUGAAUGUGAGAUUUUGAUGCCUUGGGAUAAUUGUAACUCCAUGUGCAUGUACUGGUGACAUCCAAAGUCCAUACGCCAGUACUACUUUCAUCAUUAAUCUAGAUACAAAAUAUGAAAACCACAAAAAGACUCUUCCCCAUUUUUACAUUGUUUAUCAAAACCACACAAAACCCUUCUUUCUCUCAACUUCAUCCCAGCAUCGAGGAAGAGUUGAAGAUCUAUCUACUUAUCCGUCUGGUUACAUUAAAGAUCAUCCAGAUCCAAAAGUACUCUGAUUUUUGGUGGGUGGGAAAGAUGCUCCAGACCCAAAAAGAUGCUCUGAAUCCAAAAGAUGAUCCAUAUCCAAAAGAUGAUCCGGAAAGAUGCUACCAGAUCCAAAAAAUGCUCCAGAUCCGGUUGAAGAUGUUCGAUGUUGAAGAUGAUGUUUCAGAUGGCGGUUCGAUGUUGAAGAUGAUCCAAAAGAUUUUCGAGGUUGAACAUGAUGUUCCAGAUCUAAAAGAUCCUCCAUAAUAAGUAUGUUUGUUCAGUUUUUUUUUUCAGAUUUGCAACUUUUUGUGUUUUGUAG
This is a long non-coding RNA of Helianthus annuus (common sunflower), 1168 nucleotides long. RefSeq lists it as uncharacterized. NCBI's taxonomy places the organism in Eukaryota, Viridiplantae, Streptophyta, Magnoliopsida, Asterales, Asteraceae. The record is from RefSeq and is a predicted model, not a curated record. The transcript is spliced from 3 exons.